ACCCUCUAACUCCACCUGCAUCACAAAUUAUGUACACAACAUGUUUUCUUAUUCAUGUAGAAUUAUGUCAAAGGGAUUAAAAGAAGUCAUAUUUACUAACUUACAGGUGGGUCACUCACAGGUGGUUCCACAGGAGUAACAGGACUCUGGGAUGUGGAUGGCAACCUGCUGGUCUGAGGAACAGAUGCUGUUGGCUUUGGUAGAGCAGCUGAUCUAGACAGCACAGGCCUGUCAGUGUUCUUAGGCUGGGAGGAGGAUGAAGAUGGAGAGAUCUUCCUUUGAUGGGAGGAGGAUAGAGAUUGGACGAUUCUCUGGUUGGGAGGUUGAUGGUGACAGGAAGACCGUCUCAGGAUGGUAGGAAGAGGAGGAUGGCUUGACCUGGGUAGCUGACUUCUGCUUAGACUUUUGUGGGCUGGAUUCUUUGGAAAUCCUCACAGUAGCUUUACUGCUAACUUGGCUCGAGGACUCUUGAGACGUCACUAAAUCUGACAAAGUGACAUUUUUUGGAUCAAGAAAUGUACUUAUUUUCCAUUAACUCUGUCUCUUACCUUCAACAGCCUGACCUGCAGCCAUCAGCUCAGCAGACCAUGAAGACAGAUCGCCCCUUUUCAGCUGUUGCUAGAGUGAGACAGAAAAAUGUUUUAUUACGCUAUCUUUGCAGGAACGUUCAUCUUUGAAUCAUUACAAACAUGCAAAUCAAACUUUGCAUUUGGACAGUUUAUGGCCACAGCACUUACUUGCUCCUAUUCAGAGAUAUAUUUUCGGAACCUCUUCAUAUGGACGCUGGUGAUGUGUGUCAGCGCCGUGUUUAGCCAUCUCCUCACUGAGGUGUGUGCCUUCUGGAUUCUGUCCUCGUCUGUAAAUUGGUCUGGCUGGUCUUUUUGUUUUGAGUACUGGCGGUAGAGGUCCCACAUCUCCUAAAAGGUAUUGCCUUCAAAGCCUUUCUGGCCAUAGAUGCACCUAUCAAUGUUGGCCUCGAGGAGAAUGGAGAUUUGAGGGAAGCUCUCUGCAUACUCAGCCAGGCAGUCCUCCACCCAGUGAUUGGCAAUGUCCCCUUUUCUGGCUGGGUUGUUACCUCGGCCCUGUGCUUGUUGCCCAAAAUUGGUAAAUAUAAUCAACUAUGAACGGGCUCAACUGUGUUUUUAUUUUCUUUUUUAACUUAUGUUUGGUUAUCCGGAGGCUUGUGAAGGGGCUGCAGGGGCGUGCCCGAUGGGAGACUCUUUUUAAUCAACACUGAGAUAUAAGAAAAAGGAAACGAGAGGGAAAAGAUGGGGCCCAAAGCGGCGUGGUGUGAGAGAAGCCAUCACCUGGGCCUGGAAGCGGGCGCGGCAGACGGCGGGAGCAGGGUCGACAGCUGAGAAGACAGCCAAGAGGAGCCACCAGCAGACCAGAAGCCAAACCGACGUCAAAGGAGUGCACCGGGAGAAGCAGCGAGCAGACCAACGUUGGGUGAGCACGCUGGGCUGCCAACCAAACUAUGAAGCAGCUUUCUGGACUGGGAAGAAGCCAGAGAAAACCCACACAGGAAGAACUCAGCCGGGAUCUGAUCCGGUCGUGGUUUGUCAGAUGUUCCUCCAUCUUCCUUCUCUGAUUAUCUCUGCCUCGUCUCCUCUGGCUAAUCUGCUGCUGUCUGUUUUUGUCUUCACAGGUGUUCAGUAUUACUGACUGAUGCACCUGCAGUUCCCAGUCUGUCAGCUUCCUUCCACAGACUUCUCUCCUGGAUCAUCCUGGUUUAUUUGGGACACUUUAUCACAUCAGCUCCAGACUCCACCACCUUCCUGCGCCACAAUAAACUGUUUUAUCUAAACCA
Long non-coding RNA from Oryzias melastigma (Indian medaka), 1810 nucleotides. RefSeq lists it as uncharacterized. The record is from RefSeq and is a predicted model, not a curated record. NCBI's taxonomy places the organism in Eukaryota, Metazoa, Chordata, Actinopteri, Beloniformes, Adrianichthyidae. The transcript has 2 exons.